UACGUAGGCGGAAAAUUAAGUCAGUAGUGAAAUCCCGCAGCUUAACUGUGGAACUGUUAUUGAUACUGGUUUUCUUGAAUGUAGUUGAGGUAGGCGGAAUGUGUAAUGUAGCGGUGAAAUGCUUAGAUAUUACACAGAACACCGAUUGCGAAGGCAGCUUACUAAGCUACGAUUGACGCUGAGGUACGAAAGCGUGGGGAGCGAACAGGAUUAGAUACCCUGGUAGUCC
This 229-nucleotide ribosomal RNA is filed under the name uncultured bacterium. Its description in RNAcentral is "partial 16S ribosomal RNA". It matches the Rfam family "Bacterial small subunit ribosomal RNA", at positions 568 to 796 of the family's 1533-position model. The record is from RNAcentral.